CUCAACACUCAAAGGUACCAUUGUUUUGAGUUUUGUUGUUGAAGUCUUUUGAAAUCCUGUUUGCUGUCAUUCCACUCAGGCAUCUCAAGCCAGCACAUGAAAGAAGCCUGCAUGGCAGAGCAGGCAUGUCAGAAAUGAGGAAAUGAAAUGACAGCAUUGAUGGGCACCAAAAUAGAAACUUUACAUAGGAUACUCUGCUUUGGAAGUGAGUCUGCUGGGAAAUUACUGCCCGCGUGCAGUGACUGUGGUCCUGGGGCGGUGCAGGAGCAGUAUAAAAGCGGGUCCUUCUCCUGACUCUCUCAUCCACUCCUCUUGCCUCCGUCUCCUUGGGAUCAAGGUGCAGCUCCAGCCACAAGACAUGUCCUGCUACAACCCGUGCCUGCCCUGCCAGUCCUCUGGCCCAACCCCGCUGGCCAACAGCUGCAAUGAGCCCUGUGUCAGGCAGUGCCAGGACUCCCAUGUUUACAUCCAGCCGUCCCCUGUGGUGGUGACCCUGCCCGGCCCCAUCCUCAGCUCCUUCCCGCAGAACACCGCCGUGGGCUCCUCCACCUCCGCUGCCGUUGGCAGCAUCCUCAGCUCUCAGGGAGUGCCCAUCAACUCCGGGGGCUUUGGCCUGUCUGGCUUGGGCAGCGGCAUCUGUGGCACGAGGAGGUGUUUCCCCUGCUAAAGCUGCUGGUGAUGGCCCUGGGGAAGGACCGCAGGGACACACAAGAUGGGACUGGUCUUGGGAGGGAGAACUGGGUUGUUGGUUUCAGAGGGGCUGAGCAACCCUGGUAUCUGUUGCAAAGGGACGGGGCCAGUCUGGGCUCUCAGGAAGCACGGCCCAUGCCGAUUUUCUCCUCUUCCAGUGCCUUCUGUUCCUCUUGUGUCCUUGUUGUCCUGUGCUCCUCUGGGCUGUGAGUUCCACAAAGUCAGCCUAGGGAGGACCUGCUGGCCGUUCCCCCUCUGUGGGACAGUCAGACGGAGACCUGGUUCAACCUCUUCCACAGCCAUAAGUUACAGAUUCCUGUCUGCCCCUGGUGCUUCCUGCUCCAGGAUCUCCAUUCCGAUCCACCGAUCCACCUCUUUCUCUCUUUUGCCUCAUUAAAGUUCUUCUGCACCUGA
Long non-coding RNA from Columba livia (rock pigeon), 1104 nucleotides. RefSeq lists it as uncharacterized. The transcript has 2 exons. NCBI's taxonomy places the organism in Eukaryota, Metazoa, Chordata, Aves, Columbiformes, Columbidae. The record is from RefSeq and is a predicted model, not a curated record.